RNAcentral lists this unclassified non-coding RNA (250 nucleotides) under uncultured fungus. RNAcentral's name for it is "partial contains 5.8S ribosomal RNA, internal transcribed spacer 2, and large subunit ribosomal RNA". The record is from RNAcentral. Lineage: Eukaryota; Fungi.
AACGCACAUUGCGCCCGUUAGUAUUCUGACGGGCAUGCCUGUUCGAGCGUCAUUUCAACCCUCAGGCCCUGCCUGGUGAUGGGGAUCCCGCGGUCCAACGCCGCGGGGCCCUGAAAAGCAGCGGCGGGCUCUGCUGAAACCCGAGCGCAGUAAUCUCUCUCGCUUAGGGGACCGGCGGGCGCCCUGCCCCCACACCUUUUAUUUUCCAAUGGUUGACCUCGGAUCAGGUAGGAAUACCCGCUGAACUUAA